This 72-nucleotide transfer RNA is filed under the name Dendronephthya gigantea. RNAcentral's name for it is "tRNA-Cys". It matches the Rfam family "tRNA". Rfam says of the family: Transfer RNA (tRNA) molecules are approximately 80 nucleotides in length. The record is from RNAcentral. Lineage: Eukaryota; Metazoa; Cnidaria; Anthozoa; Malacalcyonacea; Nephtheidae.
GGGAGUAUAGCUCAGUGGUAGAGCAUUCGACUGCAGAUCGAGAGGUCAGUGGUUCAAAUCAGCUCGCUCCUU